GGAGUGGAGCCUGCGGCUUAAUUUGACUCAACACGGGGAACCUCACCCGGCCCGGACACCGCGAGGAUUGACAGAUUGAGAGCUCUUUCUCGAUUCGGUGGGUGGUGGUGCAUGGCCGUUCUUAGUUGGUGGAGCGAUUUGUCUGGUUAAUUCCGAUAACGAACGAGACUCUAGCCGGUUAAGUAGCCCGGAGCGGUUUUUGAUCUUUGCCGUCCGUCCUUUGUUUUUUCCCUUUUUCCCGUCCUCGGCCGACCGGUUCGGCGGGUACGAGGGAAGGCGGGGGCGGAGGGGUCAUCCGCAGGCCGUCCGCGGUCUGCGGGGAAACCUUUUCGUCACUUUACCUUCUCGCCGUCUUUGCCGUUUCCCGAGCGGUCGAGACGGAAGGGGAGCUUAGGCGGAAGCAUAACCGAAGGCCGCCGGCUUUUACAGGAAGCUUCUUAGAGGGACGAGCGGCGUUCAGCCGCCCGAGAUUGAGCGAUAACAGGUCUGUGAUGCCCUUAGAUGUCCGGGGCCGCACGCGCGCUACACUGAAGGGCUCAGCGUGCUCGUUUCUCCCGAGCCGACAGGCUCGGGGAACCCGUUGAAACCCUUUCGUGCUAGGGACAGGGACUUGCAAUUGUGUCCCUCCAACGAGGAAUUCCCAGUAAGCGCGAGUCAUCAGCUCGCGUUGAUUACGUCCCUGCCCUUUGUACACACCGCCCGUCGCUACUACCGAUUGAACGAUUUAGUGAGGUCUUCGGACCGGUGGCCGUUCCGAGCCGUCGUUACCUUCCGGGGUCGGCGGUUUUUUCUUUCGGGGUCGGCCGGCCGGGAAGAUGCCC
Molecule: ribosomal RNA, 821 nt
Filed under: Euperipatoides leuckartii
Lineage: Eukaryota; Metazoa; Onychophora; Udeonychophora; Euonychophora; Peripatopsidae
Description: SSU rRNA
Rfam family: Eukaryotic small subunit ribosomal RNA
Source: RNAcentral